CAACUUACGUGUACCUCAAGGGAGACUAGCAUAGCAACCUACCGCCAUAGCCCCUCUAAAAUCAUGGUUUGCUUUUAGAGGGAAUCGAACUCUGCCAUGUUACAGGCUCAGAUUCGCCCUCACCAUUGGGGCAACCCAUGGCAGAGCGAUAUCCCGGGAGCAGAUUGCCCACUGGCAGGGCCAUUUCAAGGCACAUCACGAGGUAGCGAGACCCGGGAAGGCAACCC
Long non-coding RNA from Rhododendron vialii, 227 nucleotides. RefSeq lists it as uncharacterized. Lineage: Eukaryota; Viridiplantae; Streptophyta; Magnoliopsida; Ericales; Ericaceae. The record is from RefSeq and is a predicted model, not a curated record. The transcript is spliced from 2 exons.